GUGGGGAAUUUUGGACAAUGGGCGCAAGCCUGAUCCAGCAAUGCCGCGUGCAGGAAGAAGGCCUUCGGGUUGUAAACUGCUUUUGUACGGAACGAAACGGUCCGGGUUAAUACCCUGGGCUAAUGACGGUACCGUAAGAAUAAGCACCGGCUAACUACGUGCCAGCAGCCGCGGUAAUACGUAGGGUGCAAGCGUUAAUCGGAAUUACUGGGCGUAAAGCGUGCGCAGGCGGUUUUGUAAGACAGGCGUGAAAUCCCCGGGCUCAACCUGUGAAUUGCGCUUGUGACUGCAAGGCUGGAGUGCGGCAGAGGGGGAUGGAAUUCCGCGUGUAGCAGUGAAAUGCGUAGAUAUGCGGAGGAACACCGAUGGCGAAGGCAAUCCCCUGGGCCUGCACUGACGCUCAUGCACGAAAGCGUGGGGAGCAAACAGGAUUAGAAACCCCAGUAGUCC
This 450-nucleotide ribosomal RNA is filed under the name uncultured bacterium. Its description in RNAcentral is "partial 16S ribosomal RNA". It matches the Rfam family "Bacterial small subunit ribosomal RNA", at positions 354 to 796 of the family's 1533-position model. The record is from RNAcentral.